Long non-coding RNA from Melospiza melodia melodia, 5048 nucleotides. RefSeq lists it as uncharacterized. The record is from RefSeq and is a predicted model, not a curated record. The transcript is spliced from 2 exons. NCBI's taxonomy places the organism in Eukaryota, Metazoa, Chordata, Aves, Passeriformes, Passerellidae.
GCCUCCCCGGCGGGGCUGCGCGCCGCCCUCGUUGCUUGUAGGGCAGCGCCGCGUUUUGGCACCAGCCGUGGCUUGUUUGACGGGUUUGGAUGGGAGACGUGACGGAGCAGCGGUGUCCGGCAGCCAGAACCAAACUAACGUGCUCCAUCCACUGCAGCCGCAGAGGCAAAGCAGCGCGACGCGGUUGCUUGUACGUAUUCCUCCUUCCCCACGCUGCUACUCGGUCAGCACUUUGGAGGCUGGCAGGAAGCUUUGAGGCAGUUCGCAGUAGCUUGGCAGAGCUUUUGUAACAAAGCUGGAUAAAAAUCGCUGCAUUCUUCGCGUAGCUCGCCGAAAACAGUCGUGUUUCAUAGGUCUAGGUGUAAAGUGUAGCUAUUGCUUGAAAUCUGUAAAAAAUUCAAAUGCAUUUCAAUACAUACUCCACAGUAUUUGAAGAUACUUCCAGUGUUAGGUUAAUGGCAACGAACAAUGCUUCCUAAACUGAAAAGAAACAGACACACGUCAUCUUGACAGGUGUACAGUGUCAUUGGGUAUUGUGAAGCAGUGUUAACUCUGCUUUUCCUGAAAGAUGUGCAUCGACAAAAAUAUAGAGAAUGCGUAGUUCUCAUAACAGUAACAAUGCCUGGAUUAUUGCAUUAUGUCCAGUGUUCAUUUUCUAUUCCCCUUUAAACAGGCAGACAGAACUCAUUGUUUCGACAUUGGAGUUUUUAUGUCAUUUCAGGGUUUUGUUUACAUUAGUGGAAAUUAACAGCUUCUGUAAGGUAAGUCAGUCUUACUGCUUCCAUCCUUAAAAAAAUUGUAUAUUCAGUAAGAAAAUACUAUCCUUGUUAUCAAAGAAUAGCAGUGUUGCAAACCAUUAUUUUAAAUAUAGAUUCUUAGUUCAUCAAUAGCUUGCCCACAGCACACCGCAGUAUGCUUAUGGAUGACAAAACAAUGUGGUUUCUAUUUAGUAACAUGAUUGUGUUUGCUCUCUUCUAACCUUGUCUUAAGAUUAUGACAAACUAAAAUACAACUUUACGUUCUUAACAAAAUUGCCAUCGUUUGGUUUCUUGUAGACCAGUCUGGACAAUGAUGCAUUUUUGUAGCCCUUUGCUUGCUAAUUUUUAGCUGGUGAGUGAUGGUUCUUGUUAACCCUGAGAAACCAUGCUGUCGAAUCCUCCCAUUUGAUUAAGGGCAUCUGCUGAACAGCAAGCUUUCCUCUUAAAAUUAGGUGAACGUAGAUGAUGUUGGAGUAAUUGUUCUGGACUGAUGAUUCUCACACUAAAAAUAGCAUAUGGAGACUUUUCAGCAGAUUUGGUGCAGCUGUUCCUAUACCACUUCAUUAUUGCUUCCUGCACAUAAAGAGUUUGCAGUGCUCAAAUGUAAGCAGACAAUACAAGGUAAGAAAUACCAGCACAAUUUGUUGUGUACUAACACCAGUAAUCUACUAAUGGGAACAAUAUAGUUUGUCCUAAGGUAUUUUGUGCUUAUUUAAUGAAAACUGAGAUGGUGCACACCAACACUUGUGGAAUCACUCAUGCCAGUGCAAUGCAAAAUUCAAGCUCUAGUUUGCUCGGCUGUUAAGCUGAAUUAUUUUCUCAGUCAGAAACAGUACAGAAAUUGAUGCAAAGCUAUGUGAUGAAGCUGCCCAUUUAAUUAGGCAUAAAUGACAGGAAAAGUUCUCAUCCUUAAUUUUUUCCAUAAAUACUUCAAAACUCUGAAUUUAAGUCUUUAUAAAAAAGCCCUUGGGAAAGUGGAAUGUUUUAAUAUAAUGCAAAAAAGCUCAUCAUUGGUUUCAGAUAGGCAAGUCAACCUGGUAUGUUUCUUAGCAAGUAUACAGCAAAAACCAAAAACAUUACCUGAAAGCCCCUCUCAGCAUACCUUAUGUUCUCCUCUUUCCCUUCACAUUCCCACACUCCUGCAUUGUAUAAAAGGGUGUUUUAAGAAUUCCUGGGAGAAUAAAGUUGAAUUAAUUCAGGUUAAAGAGUUGUGAGAAGGCAUAGGUCCCAUCCAGACAGGCAUGACUACAGCCUGAUCUAUUAAAAAGUAGAAAUCCUUUUGCACUUUUAAUCUUACAGCUUUCCCAUGGGGAAGGAAGGCUGGGGGGAGGACAUGGUACAGGCCUGGGUUAACAGGUUCUGUGGAUAUGGGGGAGAGGUUGUGUAGUGUUGAUAUCGGGGAAGGGGAGGGGGCAGGGAGGCGGAGGUUGCUUAGUCUGUUCAAGAUAACCAGGUCUUGUAAGGUUCUUUUGGUAACUACCCAAUGUCUCCACUUCUCUCUAGACGCAAGCAGAAAUGCCUAUCUUCAGCUGUGUUUUCAUCUAGGUGCCCUUCUUGUAUCAUGUAACCUGUACUACUCUCCAAGUUUCUCUUUUAAGGUUCAUAGCAAAAUCAAUUGUCCCUCUGGCUACAGAUACAUCCUGGUGCUUCAUUAGGGAUUUGUCUGUGUGGAUGGAGUCCUGCAUGUCAGAGUGGCACCAGGUGAUGAGCUGGGCAGUCAGAGCAGCUUGCAUGCUCCUGCUGUACCUGAUGUCACAUUGCUGUGGUCACUGGCAGCGUUUUGAGGAGAAAACAAAAACCAACUGGUAACAAAAGCCAAAGACCACGAAACCAACAAACCCCACCUCAGCUGAGUUCAUUUAAAGAGGAGACUGAAAUAGAGAUUAAUUUGAAAACAGUGUGCUUGGACUUUUCUGUUCUCACACGUCCAUAACAGAAGAUUAGGAGUGUAGUAAGAUAAAUGAUUAUGUGACUGAAAUGACCACUUUGCAUGUAGUAUUUAUGUAACUUUGCAGUAAUUCAAUUAAUCUAACUGAAGCAAAGUUUGAUUAGUUCAAUAACUUACAUCUAUUUCAUUAUAAGCUUGUCCUCACAAAAAAAAAAUUCUGUUUUGGCUGUUUGUGAUCAAGAAUUUUGUUUUUUGUGAAAUCAUUAAUUCUGUCUGAUAACAGACUUUAGUGGUCUUUAUGCCCUUUUUGCUGAAAAGAACACCUAAAAUCAGCAGUUGUAGAUCAGAAGUCCUUGUACUGAGGUGGUAUGAUGUAAUCACUCAAAAAAUUAUCUCAGAUUAUAAAAAAUAAUGUAUUAUACAUUCCCUCAUUUUUAAAAAUUAAAAUAUAUAAAAACAAUUCACAGAAUCCCAAACUAUUCUGUGACUGUUCAAUUGAGAGUGUUCACUAAGUCCUGAAUUUUAUUAUUGGUGGUCUGGUUUUUCAUCUGUAAUUUUUGACAGUGUUGUUUGUUACAAAUAGUGGAGGUUUAUAUGUAAAUAUAUUGCUCCAAGUUGUAUGGGUUUCUAGCAUGCUUUAAGCAACAUCAUGAUGUCAUUACCUCUCAUUAAUUGUCAAAUUACUUAAAAUUGCUUUUCAUAUAACCUACUUGUCAUUUUAUGUAAAUGAUCUAAGCUUGUAUGUCAGUGUGUGGGCCACAAGCAGGUAGAGAAAUUUCUCCAGCUUCCUAAAUGUGAAGUAUUUUUCUUCUCCUCUGGCAAAAUGACCGGCUGGAAGCAAAGGAGGCUAAAGCUGGCACAUCCUUGGCAGAGGCAGUCUGGGUCAUGCGCAGAGCACAGCCAAGCACUGAGACUGAGAUUGUAUUGACAAGAACAAGAUGAAUGGCCCCCUGGAGACUAUGGGGUUUGUAUGCUCGCUUCCACCACCUUUUCAUCCUUUUGUACCCCCUUUCAGUUCAUAUGCAGAUUAACUCAAAGCAAGUCCACACUAAAUACUCUUUUUCACUUUAGUUUUGGAAGGUAGGUGGAGGAUCUAAAUAUUUAUGAGGCUUUUUUCCUCUGGUUUAUGAUGCACUCUUGUUGAAUGUUGAGGAAUUACGUUAAUGAAUGCAUGCCUGCACACACAGACACAGAAUCCAGGCAAAAGGAAAGAAAACCACACAAAGCAUUGUCAGCUCUAAUGUCAGUGCUUACUAAAACAGUUCCCAUUAAAAAAAAAAAAAAAAAGGAAAGAGAUUUAAAAUCCAUUGCCAGGAGAAAAAUAAAUUGUAUGGCUGAGCACAAAAGAAAGAACAAAGUUUCAUCUUUGCUUUCCUCAGCUGUAAAUGAAGCUCUUGUUUCAGCUCUGAAUAAAAUUGAAAUAAAACAUGUUAAUGAGAGCUUGUCUGAAGUCUUAACUGGAUUUGUGUUUUCAGUAAUAAAAGACCAAGCUUCAGUUCUGUACAAGUUUCCUUUAACAGUCGUAAUAAACAUGAUAUUUUUUAGUGUGAUACAAGAUGCAGUUAAAUAUACUUUAAUUAGACUUCCAAGUCACUUAAUUAAAUGACACUGGUUUUGCCACGAUCUUGUUCACUACACUUAUUCAGGAGACUUAGUUUUUAGGAGAUGGGAUUUUUAUGAAAAUUGAACUUCUUUUUUAUUAAAUAGAACAUACUGAGAUUACAGCCAGAUACACUAGAUUAUUAAUUUAUUUUCAGAAUGAAAAUAGUUCAAAACUGUAACUUAAGGAACAUUUUUCCUAUAGAUGGAAAAGUAAAUGGCAUUAAAAUACUACCACUGAAAUAUUGGGCAUAUUAAUUAUUUUACAUUUACAUUGUCAAAAUGAUUAUUCUGCCUUCCUUCCACCCCUUUUUAUUCUCCAGUACACACAUAGCUGUGCCAGACAGGGCUGCAGCUCACACAAGUGGGACAGUAAAUUCUUCUGCAUUCAGGGAGCAGAACAAGGGAUUUUAAAAUAUGCUUUUGUGCUAUUAUUAAAAAAUGUACUUAAGCAAUUGCAAAAUAGUAGCUCUUCAAGUGGAAUAGUAUUUCUAUGUCUAGACUCAGUUUUUCAUAUUAACAAUCUGCAUAUCUGACGUUCAUAAAACAUUGUCAUAAUAAAUAUGUUUAUCUUUUUAUGCUACUUCAUGUUCUAGGUAUUCAGUUUUCUAUGUAAUUAAAUCCAAUAAAGCCAUCUAUAUUUCAUUUGUUCUAAACGUCUUGGUUUUGAUCUUAAACCACUGCUUUUGCUAUUUUCAGUUACUUUGCCUGUGUUACACAAGGGUUAAGUGAAAGAAAUUUGUUUAGCAGAUCCCAAAACAGUAAAGCUGUACAUGACCCAAUAAAAAAUUCGUAUUUAACAA